GGGUCAAUUUGAGCAUUUCAUUUUUCUCUAAAAAAUAUUCAGGGUUCACAAAAGAAUGCAGCCAAAGAAUAACAUGUGAUCAUAGUACUGGUUUAGUGUUGUGUUUUUGAACACAUCUCCCACUGGCCAGCUUCCAAAAAAACAAUA
Small nucleolar RNA from Mastomys coucha (southern multimammate mouse), 147 nucleotides. RefSeq annotates it as small nucleolar RNA SNORA23. The record is from RefSeq and is a predicted model, not a curated record. The transcript has a single exon. Lineage: Eukaryota; Metazoa; Chordata; Mammalia; Rodentia; Muridae.